Molecule: transfer RNA, 87 nt
Filed under: Clostridium tyrobutyricum
Lineage: Bacteria; Bacillati; Bacillota; Clostridia; Eubacteriales; Clostridiaceae
Also listed under: 1 other name
Description: tRNA-Leu
Rfam family: tRNA
About the family: Transfer RNA (tRNA) molecules are approximately 80 nucleotides in length. Their secondary structure includes four short double-helical elements and three loops (D, anti-codon, and T loops).
Source: RNAcentral
GCCGAAGUGGUGAAAUUGGCAGACGCAACGGACUCAAAAUCCGUCGGUAGUGAUACCAUGCGGGUUCAAGUCCCGCCUUCGGCACCA